Long non-coding RNA from Monodelphis domestica (gray short-tailed opossum), 1191 nucleotides. The record is from Ensembl. NCBI's taxonomy places the organism in Eukaryota, Metazoa, Chordata, Mammalia, Didelphimorphia, Didelphidae.
AAUCCAAGAACAACUUUAUUUGGGCAGAGGGAAGAACAGGGAGAGAGGAAGAAGACAGAGAGGGAAGUAUCUUCCUAACCUCAUCCCAUUCCAUGACCUGGUUAAUUAAGGAAGGGGCAGGACAAGAGAGGGCUAAGGCCAGUGUGUUCCAGGGAUAUGAUCUAUCUCCCCAUUCUUCCCCCCCUCUCUCCCCCUUCUCAAUUCCUUCUCUCCCCUAUUGGAAAUAAGAGCAGGAACUUUCACUUUUGUCUCUGAAUUCCCCAGCACCACGCCUGGCACACUGGAGGUAUUUCAUAAAUUGUUUGAUUAACUGAUCCGUGGUUUGGUGGAGAUGGAGUGGGGUGAGGGUGAAGCGUCCAUAUUCCACAAAAUACCUCUGCCACCAGCUCCUCUUCCCUUAUCUUAGGUCACAUAUCUCUGGUCAGUAAAGGAGAGUAUGAUGGUUCUCCUGAGAAAUGUAUUAGAGCCUUAAUAGGGUGGGGGGCGGGGGUGGGAAAUCAUUCUCUGCCUCCUCAUUGGCUCUGAUAAUCAGCCCAAAUGUGAGCUGAGCCCUGUUGGCCUCACAGGGUGUGAUGACGAGCAGAGCUGAAGAACUCGAUGGGUUACACCUGUGGGAUUUCUCCAACUUGUUCUAACUAGUCAAAUUAGCAAGUCUGCCUUUGGCUAGAAGGGAGAAACAGCCGCAGCUUGGGUCCCAACAUCAAACACUCCCUUUAUGACCCAGUCUCUGUCCCCGCGGGAGGAGGAGGGUGGAGGGGUUACAUCAGGCUAGUGGGAGCUGGCAGGAUGCCAGGGAGGGUGCCUCCUCAGAGUCUGACUAAGGGGGGAUGGAUCCCCUGCCCCUUGAGAUCUUUCUUCACUGGAGCAGCCUUGACUAUGGCGGGGACCCAGCUCUCCACAGAGUAUUCUCUCACACCACCCUCAGGGGAAUGGGUGGAGGAGGCUGCAGGAGCUUCCCCAGGACUCAUCUUUCACUAUUCCUCCAAGGACUCUGUUCUCCCUGCACUGAUGAUAUCUAAGAUUUCCUUCUUCAAUUGUUGGAUUGGAGUGUGCAUAUGGAAAAGUACUGCAGGGGAUAGAAGACAAGCAGGAAUCAUGGCUCAUUGUCCUAGUUUUCUACUUCCAACUCCCAACUUCCAUCAUCUUCAGGCCUCAAUAAAACAGAAGCCAAAUUAGGGCAAUGGUAGUCUU